UUUUUUUUUUUUUUUUUUAACAAAAACAACAAAAAAAAUGCUACUAGUUACACAGUAGGGUUCCUCAGAAAGCAGGGGGAAUGCCUCUUGUUUCAAGUUUUUCUUGUUUAGGGGCUUACGUAAAAGCUAAGCUAACUGCUGGUGGGCUGAUAGUGUGACAAAACUUACUACUUUGUUGAUUUAAAGCAAUCCUUGGUAUUUUAGUGUGUAAGUACUUGAAAGCAUGACUGUAAUUAUCUUAGAAGCAUACAUUGUCAUGGGAUAUUGGGUCAUGUGGACAUUGUGUUUCUGUAGGAGUUUGUCCUUGCAGAUACCAUAAGCUACUUUCCUUAACCAUUAACAUCUUAUGACCUUGACUUGUGCAGUAAGGAGUAUGUCUUCCUAGUUUUAAAGGACUUGAGCUUUGACAUCCUGGCUCUCCUAGGUUCCUGCUUAACAGUUUAUCCACUCGUACACCACAGAGUCUAAGCACCAUUGUGGAAGACACCACUCCGGUAAUAUAUCAAAGACAGACUGAGCACCUACUCCAAUAACAUAAAUAGUAAUAGCAAUGCUAUGGGAAAUAUUAAGAAGUUAAAUGUAUGUAUACAAUUGAUCAUUUAUUAUUUUCAGUUUUAUAUUGGCUAAAACUACAUAGGAUGGUUAAUCGAAUAUUAGAAAUGUCUUUCAAAAAUGCGAUCUAAUAUAAACACACAUAGUUUGAGAAGACCAUUUCCUCUAUGUUCAAUAUAUAUGGAGUUCAGAUUUAUGAACUUAUUUUAUGCUUUUCAUUAGAUCGUUUGUUUUCUAUCUUGAUUUCUUCUGUGUUCAUGAGCUUGUGAACCAAAAGUAUCUAAUAGGUCUCAAUUUAGAAAGUUUACUUUGCCAAGGUUAAUGAUGUGCUUUGCAGCCGAUGUGGUCCAGAUGUAGCUGGGUGAUAUAUCUUCUGCUGUGGCCUCAAGCAGACAGAGAGCAGGGAGACAAGGAACCAAGUUCUUGGUGCCUCUUGUGUUAAGGGCAUGCAUCCAUUCCUGAGGGUUCCCUUCUGUGAUCUAAUCACCUCCCGCAGUCUUCAACUCCUAAUCCCAUCACAUUGAGGGUUAGAAUUUCAACAUAUAUGUUCUGGGAUGGACACAUUCAUUCCACAACACUGUCCAUUAUAUAUCUCUCUCUCUUUUUUCUUUUUUAGAAGGAGUUUCACUCUUGUUUCCCAGACUGGAGUGCCAUGGCGUGAUCUUGGCUCACUGCAACCUCUGCCUCCUGGG
Molecule: long non-coding RNA, 1244 nt
Filed under: Macaca fascicularis (crab-eating macaque)
Lineage: Eukaryota; Metazoa; Chordata; Mammalia; Primates; Cercopithecidae
Description: lncRNA (ENSMFAG00000065228.1)
Source: RNAcentral